GAUGAACGCUGGCUACAGGCUUAACACAUGCAAGUCGAGGGGAAACGACGGGGAAGCUUGCUUCCCCGGGCGUCGACCGGCGCACGGGUGAGUAACGCGUAUCCAACCUGCCUCUGACUGAGGGAUAACCCGUCGAAAGUCGGCCUAAUACCUCAUGGCAUCGUCUGCGGGCAUACAACGACGAUUAAAGAUUUCAUCGGUCAGAGAUGGGGUUGCGUCUGAUUAGCUUAUUGGCGAGGUAAAGGCCUACCAAGGCGACGAUCACUAGGGGUUCUGAGGGGCAGGUCCCCCACAAUGGAACUAAGACACGGUCCAAACUCCUACGCGGGGCAGCAGUGAGGAAUAUUGGUCACUGGGCGAGAGCCUGAACCAGCCAAGUAGCGUGCAAGAUGACGGCCCUAUGGGUUGUAAACUGCUUUUAUGCGGGGAUAAAGUGAGUGACGUGUCCUUCAUUGCAGGUACCGCAUGAAUAAGGACCGGCUAAUUCCGUG
RNAcentral lists this ribosomal RNA (491 nucleotides) under uncultured bacterium. Its description in RNAcentral is "partial 16S ribosomal RNA". It matches the Rfam family "Bacterial small subunit ribosomal RNA", at positions 28 to 507 of the family's 1533-position model. The record is from RNAcentral.